Molecule: ribosomal RNA, 257 nt
Filed under: Enterococcus faecalis
Lineage: Bacteria; Bacillati; Bacillota; Bacilli; Lactobacillales; Enterococcaceae
Description: partial 16S rRNA
Rfam family: Bacterial small subunit ribosomal RNA
Source: RNAcentral
CGCUUCUUUCCUCCCGAGUGCUUGCACUCAAUUGGAAAGAGGAGUGGCGGACGGGUGAGUAACACGUGGGUAACCUACCCAUCAGAGGGGGAUAACACUUGGAAACAGGUGCUAAUACCGCAUAACAGUUUAUGCCGCAUGGCAUAAGAGUGAAAGGCGCUUUCGGGUGUCGCUGAUGGAUGGACCCGCGGUGCAUUAGCUAGUUGGUGAGGUAACGGCUCACCAAGGCCACGAUGCAUAGCCGACCUGAGAGGGUG